This 450-nucleotide ribosomal RNA is filed under the name uncultured organism. RNAcentral's name for it is "partial 16S ribosomal RNA". It matches the Rfam family "Bacterial small subunit ribosomal RNA", at positions 329 to 796 of the family's 1533-position model. The record is from RNAcentral.
ACGUACACUCCUGCGGGAGGCAGCAGUGGGGAAUAUUGGACAAUGGGCGCAAGCCUGAUCCAGCCAUGCCGCGUGAGUGAUGAAGGCCCUAGGGUUGUAAAGCUCUUUCACCGGUGAAGAUAAUGACGGUAACCGGAGAAGAAGCCCCGGCUAACUUCGUGCCAGCAGCCGCGGUAAUACGAAGGGGGCUAGCGUUGUUCGGAUUUACUGGGCGUAAAGCGCACGUAGGCGGACUAUUAAGUCAGGGGUGAAAUCCCGGGGCUCAACCCCGGAACUGCCUUUGAUACUGGUAGUCUUGAGUUCGAGAGAGGUGAGUGGAAUUCCGAGUGUAGAGGUGAAAUUCGUAGAUAUUCGGAGGAACACCAGUGGUGAAGGCGGCUCACUGGCUCGAUACUGACGCUGAGGUGCGAAAGCGUGGGGAGCAAACAGGAUUAGAAACCCGUGUAGUCC